CCCUUAGAUGUCCUGGGCUGCACGCGCGCUACACUGAUGUGUCCAGUAAGCACCUAACCUCUUCCGAAAGGAACGGGUAACCUUUGCAAAGCACAUCGUGAUGGGGAUAGAUUAUUGCAAUUAUUAGUCUUGAACGAGGAAUUCCUAGUAAGCACAAGUCAUCAGCUUGUGUUGAUUACGUCCCUGCCCUAUGUACACACCGCCCGUCGCUCCUACCGAUUGAAUGUUCCGGUGAGCUCUUCGGACUGCGCGGUCUGCAGUUUCUGCGUUCCGUGCGGAAAGUUGCGCAAACCUUAACAUUUAGAGGAAGGAGAAGUCGUAACA
Molecule: ribosomal RNA, 324 nt
Filed under: uncultured eukaryote
Lineage: Eukaryota
Description: partial 18S ribosomal RNA
Rfam family: Eukaryotic small subunit ribosomal RNA
Source: RNAcentral